UGCGUAGUCUGCAAAGCACACUACCUUAAUCCUCGCCGCCAAGGCUGCGGCGACGACGAGUAUCCCGCCGGACUUUAAGCCAUCUCUGCCCGGCACCAGGGGUAUCAUUCAAGAUGGAUGCUGGCACGGACUCUUCUAAAGUGCCUUAAGACUCAGAAGAUAAGGUAUUGGUGGCGUGUCUGUCCGCAGCCCCUACCCGACAACCAAUGACAGAAUAAACGUGUAGAAAGCUUUUGGGUGCUAUGUUUGGACGGCGGUUCGAGUCCGCCCAUCUCCACAA
RNAcentral lists this transfer-messenger RNA (280 nucleotides) under Bacteroidales bacterium. Its description in RNAcentral is "partial transfer-messenger RNA". It matches the Rfam family "transfer-messenger RNA", at positions 78 to 374 of the family's 374-position model. From Rfam's summary of the family: Bacterial tmRNA, also known as 10Sa RNA or SsrA, is named for its dual tRNA and mRNA-like properties. Lineage: Bacteria; Pseudomonadati; Bacteroidota; Bacteroidia; Bacteroidales. The record is from RNAcentral.